RNAcentral lists this long non-coding RNA (4004 nucleotides) under Lynx pardinus (Iberian lynx). Lineage: Eukaryota; Metazoa; Chordata; Mammalia; Carnivora; Felidae. The record is from RNAcentral.
CAGGUCAGUGGUUCAGGGUCUGCGUGUUGAAGGCAAGGUUGGAAAUAAAGACGUUCCUGAUGUGCCUCACCCUCCACAAACAGGUAGGCGUGGGUUUACCCACCAUAUUUUCCAUAUCAUUGAAUUUCUGCUACAGGUUUCGUAUUGCUAUUGCAACUUAUCGUCACCCAAUGAUUUGGGUGGCGGGUAUUUGGAUCUGGGGCUGGGAGGUCUAGUUGCUGCAAUCACAGGGCUGUCCUCCUGGCACUUGGAGCUCAGGUGAGGAUAGCCCACGUCAGUCAUGCCCAACAGCCCCUCUUAGACCCUGGGGAGUCACCUAAUGUCAGAGACCAAAAUAUCCGGGUACCAUCUAGUCCAACUCCCUCAUUUUACAGAUGGGCAAACUAAGGCCCAAUGGUCUGGUGUCACUAUGACAUGGUGAGUUGAUGGCUACACAAAGGCAUGAAUUUGGGUCCCGUGAAUCUUAGUCCAAAAACUGCCAUGUUGCUCUUUAAGUCUGAAAAGAAUAGAGAUAAUAUUAACACAUUCUCUGAAGUCUUCAUUACCUUAAAAAGGAGAGAGACAGAAAAGAUAAAGAUAAAGAAGGAAGCCAUGUGUAAGAGUGAGCAGGGGGCAGAGAGGUCUGGGCUCAAGCUCUGAGAGGACGCACGACGUGGAUCGGCCACGAAGUUGACGAGUGGACUCGGGAUUUACCUAAUGUUCUUGAGCCUUAAUCCUCAUCUUUAAAACAGAGACAUAGUGCCUACUUCACAGAGUUGCGUUAGGAUUAAAGGAGAUAAUACUCAGGUCCUGGCACACACAAAAUGCUUAAUAAAUAUUGGCUCUUGUUACAUCCCCAGUGCAGACAUCCAAGGACUUAAAUAGACUGCCAAGGCAUCUGUCCUGGGGGGCCUGUCCUUAAGCCAAACUUCCUCCUUGCCAACUCCUCUCUUCCGGUCCAGGACCCUGGCUGCCCACACCCUCCCUCUCAUCCCUCCAAACAAGACAGUCAUGACAAUGUUAGUGCCCAGCUCCACGGGAUCUUUCCAGAGGGGAGGCAACCUACUGACUAGAAACGAAGUUGCAAAAGGACAUGGGAUAAAGGGUGCUUUUAGCAAAUGACAAUGAGAAAGUUAGGAGAGUGACCUACAGGGUUCCUUGCAUCUGUUAUUACAAUGCUGGGUUAUGUAAUAAAGCCUUUAUGGUAUAGGGAGUAUAAAAUACAAUCACCAGCAUGCCAGUCUCCAUGGAAGUUAGAAUGGCAGCAAAAUCGGGGCGCCUGGGUGGCGCAGUCGGUUGGGCGUCCGACUUCAGCCAGGUCACGAUCUCGCGGUCCGUGAGUUCGGGCCCCGCGUCGGGCUCUGGGCUGAUGGCUCGGAGCCUGGAGCCUGUUUCCGAUUCUGUGUCUCCCUCUCUGUCUGCUCCUCCCCCAUUCAUGCUCUGUCUCUCUCUGUCCCAAAAAUAAAUAAAUGUUGAAAAAAAAAAAAAAUUUUAAAAAAAAAAAAAAAGAAUGGCAGCAAAAUGAAUGCCCGUUACUCUUCUCUUCCCUUGCAUAAGUCAUCAGACACCUGGCUUAGUGCAUAAGGUUGGUUUUCUCCCCUCCAAGACCAUUAAAACUGUCCCAUAGAAGGUGAUUUAAGUGGCAUUCUGAUCACUAGUUCUCUGCUCGGUUACUGUACAAUGAUAAUUAAUAUUUAUAAAGAUGACCCUGAUUUAACACAUAAAGAUCAAAUUAAUAUUAAUCAAUAUAAAUAAUAUAAGUUAAUAUACAUAGUAUUAAUUCAAUACGGUUUUCAGGAGAAAUGCGUUCGAUCACGUUCUGAGUCUCCAAAAGUCGACCACAUAUUCAUCACGCAUGUUAACCAGAACACCCUAUUUUCUGGCUAUAUCAGAAAAUAUAAUUCACUCUUUUUCUUAAACUCCAGAUUUGCAGUUUUCCUUUUGAGUCCCCAUUUAUCUUCUUACGAAACAUGCGCCCGAGAGGAUGACAGGAUAACAUUUUCUCAAGACAAUGUUUGUUUUUGCAGAGUGUGUCCCUGAUACUGGAUACCACCCGGCUGCUGGAGACCCUUGGGCUCAGAGUCUGAGGCUCUGACGUUGCAAUUCAAACCCCAAAGCGCAGCGGAUUUUCAUCUGGGUUUCAGAGGAGGCAUUAUCUUCACUUUGUUUCUGGACACUGGAGCUGAACCCCCUCCCCCAGAGAUAAGAACAAACAGAAUGUGUUCUGUCUUCCCAAAGAUGCUACAUCAGCAUGUAUUUUCCACUUAAGGCUUUUAAGCAUUUGACUUACACAUUUAUGAACACCCCCAGUGGACCGUUAGGGUUUGGUUUAAUCCCCAAGAAAACUGGCAUUAAAAUAGACCUUUUCCCGGCAAUAAUAAUCUCAUUUACGAUAAAUUAUUCUAUUCUCAGUACCUUUGAGACACAUGAGAGCUUUUAUGUAAUAAAGAAGCCAUUUAUUUCCGAAUAUUUUAAUGCAUGUUUCCAUAUUUUUCUCAUUUUUAAUGCAAGGGCCACCGACAGUAUUGUAAGAGAAUGUCUUUUAAAAGCAAAUUUAUGGCAAAUGUUCCAGGGAAAUGGACGGCAGCAUGCAUCAUCGCACAGCUAUACCACGAGAGGAACAGGACAGAGAUGUUCUAAUUCUCAUUUAUGUGCAUAAAAGAGUAACCUCUACAGAGAAAGACAAUGUUAUUGAGUAAAUUGAUAAGAUAUGGAAGACCUCGAUUCAAUUUGGACUCCAACCUUUGAUGUGCUAUAUGUACUCAGCUAUUGCUAUGUCUCAUAUGCCUGAAAUACAGGAGGCAAAGGGACGGAUGUUGGGGAAGAUCGUGAUGACCACCGAGGAAAAGAAAGUCAAGUCGGAGCCUUUAUGUGUUAACUGGACAGAAACCUUGUUUUGAAAGGCCAGGGAAUCAAGGAGCAGAUAGGACGGGCCCUGCUAGAAGUUCGAUUACCUUGAUUUUCGAAACUUUCAUUUCAGAACUACUCAUCUGGGUGCCAUCUGUCUGAAAAGCCACCAAGAUGGCGAUUCUCACUUGGGAAGGUGGUGGCAGGGUCUGGCUGCGGAGACGGUGUCAGAAUCAAAAUACACACGCCUCUGGUUCGGUGAUUUUAAUUUAUGCUAGACUCCUGGAGCAGAAAAGCACUUUGAGGAAUCUCAGAUGUGCAAUUCUGAUAUGCUUCCUGAUUAAGAACCACUGCACUAGCGUAAGUGUGAGAUUUACUUCAAGCACCAUCGUAUGUACUUAUCAGAGACAAGAAAGUGAACCUGGGACAUGAGCUGUACAGCACUUCUGGGAUAAGAAGCCAACCCUCAUGGGUAGACCUCCCACAGGAAAUGUCUAAGGAGGCUGGGACCAUGGGGACUGAUGGCUCAGAGCUGCACUAAUGGCAGCCAGUGGCACGUAUAGCUGCGGAGCACUCGAAAUGGGCCAGUGCAAAUUAAGAUGUGUUGUAAGAGUAAACUACGUAUUAAAAGUUAUUAUUUUUUCAAAUUUUUUUAACAUUUGUUUAUUUUUUGAGAGACAGACAGUGAGUGGGCAAGGGGAAAUGAGAGAGACAGGGAGUCACAGAUUCCAAAGCAGGCUCCAGGCUCUGUGCUGUCAGCACAGAGUCCGACAGGGUCUCAAACUCACAAACCGUGAGAUCGUGACCCGAGUCGAAGUCAGACGCCCAACUAACUGAGCCACCCAGGCGCCCCAGAGAUUUUAAAAUUUAGUACAAAUUAAAAAACAUGUUAUCGCAUGAAUAAUUUUUUUAAUAAAGCUUAUUUUAUUUUUGAAGGGACAGAGACAGUGCAAGUGGGAAGGGGCAGAGAGAGAGGGAGACAGAGACUCAAUCCCACGCAGGCUCUGUGCUGCCAGCAUAGAGCCUGACAGAGGGCUCGAACCCACAAAACCACGAGGUCAUGAGCUGAGCCUAAACCAAGAGUUGGACACUUAACCGACCAAGCCAGCCAGGCGCCCCUAGUGAAUAAUUUUUUUUAUAUUAAGUAUAUGUUAAUCUGAUAACAUUUUGGAUAUUGG